Molecule: ribosomal RNA, 253 nt
Filed under: uncultured bacterium
Lineage: Bacteria
Description: partial 16S ribosomal RNA
Rfam family: Bacterial small subunit ribosomal RNA
Source: RNAcentral
UACGGGGGGGGCAAGCGUUGUUCGGAAUUACUGGGCGUAAAGGGCUCGUAGGCGGCCAACUAAGUCGGACGUGAAAUCCCUCGGCUUAACCGGGGAACUGCGUCCGAUACUGGAUGGCUGGAGGUUGGGAGAGGGAUGCGGAAUUCCGGGUGUAGCGGUGAAAUGCGUAGAUAUCCGGAGGAGCACCGGUGGCGAAGGCGGCUUCCUGGACCGACACUGACGCUGAGGCGCGAAAGCUAGGGGAGCAAACGGG